RNAcentral lists this ribosomal RNA (399 nucleotides) under uncultured Glomeromycotina. RNAcentral describes it as "SSU rRNA". It matches the Rfam family "Eukaryotic small subunit ribosomal RNA", at positions 569 to 970 of the family's 1831-position model. Lineage: Eukaryota; Fungi; Glomeromycota. The record is from RNAcentral.
AGCAGCCGCGGUAAUUCCAGCUCCAAUAGCGUAUAUUAAAGUUGUUGCAGUUAAAAAGCUCGUAGUUGAACUUCGGAAUUUGCCCAUUGGUCAGGCUUAACUGUCUGCACUGGUGUGACGAGUUCCUACCUUCUGAGGAAUCUCCAUGUCAUUCAGUUGGUGUGGGGGGGAAUCAGGACUGUUACUUUGAAAAAAUUAGAGUGUUUAAAGCAGGCAUCCGUCUGAAUACAUUAGCAUGGAAUAAUAAAAUAGGACGGUUUGGUUCUAUUUUGUUGGUUUCUAGGAUCACCGUAAUGAUUAAUAGGGAUAGUUGGGGGCAUUAGUAUUCAAUUGUCAGAGGUGAAAUUCUUGGAUUUAUUGAAGACUAACUACUGCGAAAGCAUUUGCCAAGGAUGUUUU